GCAGAAGAUAUGAAACUUGUGAAAGAAAAUAUAUCUGGUCAGUGUUGUCCAAUAUGGCAUUGUGAAUGUAGCUGUGAAAACCUUGUUAUGCCAACUUGUGAAGUGACUGUAGCCAAGACAUUAGUUGAAACAAGAACAAAAGCAAGUGUGCGACUACCUUGUUUCUAUUCCUGGC
Manis javanica (Malayan pangolin) is the source of this 175-nucleotide non-coding RNA. The record is from RefSeq and is a predicted model, not a curated record. Lineage: Eukaryota; Metazoa; Chordata; Mammalia; Pholidota; Manidae.